Molecule: non-coding RNA, 72 nt
Organism: Diplonema papillatum
Lineage: Eukaryota; Euglenozoa; Diplonemea; Diplonemida; Diplonemidae
Source: the annotation of a GenBank genome assembly
UCCGCUUUAGUACAGUGGUUAGUAUACCUGGCUUUCACCCAGGCGACCCGGGUUCGAACCCCGGAGGCGGAA